This 1200-nucleotide ribosomal RNA is filed under the name bacterium enrichment culture clone R2A2. RNAcentral describes it as "bacterial SSU rRNA". It matches the Rfam family "Bacterial small subunit ribosomal RNA", at positions 113 to 1308 of the family's 1533-position model. The record is from RNAcentral.
AUGCUUAGGAAUCUGCCUAUUAGUGGGGGACAACAUUCCGAAAGGAAUGCUAAUACCGCAUACGCCCUACGGGGGAAAGCAGGGGAUCUUCGGACCUUGCGCUAAUAGAUGAGCCUAAGUCAGAUUAGCUAGUUGGUGGGGUAAAGGCCUACCAAGGCGACGAUCUGUAGCGGGUCUGAGAGGAUGAUCCGCCACACUGGGACUGAGACACGGCCCAGACUCCUACGGGAGGCAGCAGUGGGGAAUAUUGGACAAUGGGCGAAAGCCUGAUCCAGCCAUGCCGCGUGUGUGAAGAAGGCCUUUUGGUUGUAAAGCACUUUAAGCGAGGAGGAGGCUACUUGGAUUAAUACUCUAGGAUAGUGGACGUUACUCGCAGAAUAAGCACCGGCUAACUCUGUGCCAGCAGCCGCGGUAAUACAGAGGGUGCGAGCGUUAAUCGGAUUUACUGGGCGUAAAGCGUGCGUAGGCGGCUUUUUAAGUCGGAUGUGAAAUCCCUGAGCUUAACUUAGGAAUUGCAUUCGAUACUGGGAAGCUAGAGUAUGGGAGAGGAUGGUAGAAUUCCAGGUGUAGCGGUGAAAUGCGUAGAGAUCUGGAGGAAUACCGAUGGCGAAGGCAGCCAUCUGGCCUAAUACUGACGCUGAGGUACGAAAGCAUGGGGAGCAAACAGGAUUAGAUACCCUGGUAGUCCAUGCCGUAAACGAUGUCUACUAGCCGUUGGGGCCUUUGAGGCUUUAGUGGCGCAGCUAACGCGAUAAGUAGACCGCCUGGGGAGUACGGUCGCAAGACUAAAACUCAAAUGAAUUGACGGGGGCCCGCACAAGCGGUGGAGCAUGUGGUUUAAUUCGAUGCAACGCGAAGAACCUUACCUGGUCUUGACAUAGUAAGAACUUUCCAGAGAUGGAUUGGUGCCUUCGGGAACUUACAUACAGGUGCUGCAUGGCUGUCGUCAGCUCGUGUCGUGAGAUGUUGGGUUAAGUCCCGCAACGAGCGCAACCCUUUUCCUUAUUUGCCAGCGGGUUAAGCCGGGAACUUUAAGGAUACUGCCAGUGACAAACUGGAGGAAGGCGGGGACGACGUCAAGUCAUCAUGGCCCUUACGACCAGGGCUACACACGUGCUACAAUGGUCGGUACAAAGGGUUGCUACCUAGCGAUAGGAUGCUAAUCUCAAAAAGCCGAUCGUAGUCCGGAUUGGAGUCUGC